CUUAUUACUUCGAGUCUAAUAUACUAGGGUUCAAUGAUAUGAUAUAAGGUUACGUACAGUUGAGAAAGGCUCUUUGAAUCUUGAUAUCGACUUAAUCACAUUAUAAGCAUGGCCGUAAACUUCUUUCCGUUUGUAUGAAGGUACGUAACAUUCUAAAACCGUACACACGUAUAGUCUUUUCACCUUUAUGCCAAACUUAAAGUUUCAUUUUUAUUAGACAUUUUAUUAUUUAUUCAGAUAUAAGUGGUGUUGGCCCAUUUUAUAUAUUACGGAUCGA
RNAcentral lists this long non-coding RNA (277 nucleotides) under Brassica napus (rape). Its description in RNAcentral is "long non-coding RNA (BNAP_LNC019337)". Lineage: Eukaryota; Viridiplantae; Streptophyta; Magnoliopsida; Brassicales; Brassicaceae. The record is from RNAcentral.